This is a long non-coding RNA of Mauremys reevesii (Reeves's turtle), 602 nucleotides long. RefSeq lists it as uncharacterized. NCBI's taxonomy places the organism in Eukaryota, Metazoa, Chordata, Testudines, Geoemydidae. The record is from RefSeq and is a predicted model, not a curated record. The transcript has 3 exons.
GGAUCUAGUAGUUAAAAGUGAACAAGCCUCCAGCCAGCCAAACCUAUUAGCACAACAUUGAAACUGUUAAAGAGCCAUUCAAGGGGUAAUGAAGCCGUUUAACAGGCAUUUGCCAAAUAUCAGGUCACUCAUUGAUGUGCUACACAUGCCAAGGGGAGACGUCUAACAAGUACUGUAUGAAGAUAUCUAUGUGCGCAAAAGAAGACAAUUAUUGUGUGACAAUCAAGGAUGUUGUAGGCGCUGGUUACAAAUCCGAGUACCGCAUCUCCAAGAUGUGCUCUCCGGAGUGUCCAAAAACGACCAUGAAGCAAGGCAAAACGGCUGCUAAAGUGUUUUGCUGCGAUAAACUAUUGUGCAAUGUGAAUGGAGCCAGCAGCAUGAAAACCAGCUCCUCGAUGAUUUCCAUGGGGAUCCUGGCUAACUUCAUCUACAUCUUCAGAUCCGGACUGUGAUGGGCCAGGAAAAGAAGACUUUAUGCCCUGAAGACCCUGCUCAGGCCCCACUGAGACACCAAAAGCCUACUCUGUGCAAAGCUUUCCUUUGGGCUAACACUUCCCCCUAUACUCUAAGCGUCACUUCAGACCCCCUGAGCAAAUAUCAUC